Molecule: non-coding RNA, 29 nt
Filed under: Bombyx mori (domestic silkworm)
Lineage: Eukaryota; Metazoa; Arthropoda; Insecta; Lepidoptera; Bombycidae
Source: RNAcentral
UUAGAAAUAUUGUUAACGCCGUCACGGCC